This 329-nucleotide unclassified non-coding RNA is filed under the name soil metagenome. RNAcentral's name for it is "partial contains 5.8S ribosomal RNA, internal transcribed spacer 2, and large subunit ribosomal RNA". The stretch from base 1 to 120 matches the Rfam family "5.8S ribosomal RNA", at positions 35 to 154 of the family's 154-position model. The record is from RNAcentral.
GAUGAAGAACGUAGUGAAAUGCGAUAAGUAAUGUGAAUUGCAGAAUUCAGUGAAUCAUCGAAUCUUUGAACGCACAUUGCGCCCUCUGGUAUUCCGGGGGGCAUGCCUGUCCGAGCGUCAUUACAACCCUCAAGCUCAGCUUGGUGUUGGGCCCCGCCGCCCCGGCGGGCCCUAAAGUCAGUGGCGGUGCCGUCCGGCUCCGAGCGUAGUAAUUCUUCUCGCUCUGGAGGUCCGGUCGUGUGCUCGCCAGCAACCCCCAAUUUUUUUCAGGUUGACCUCGGAUCAGGUAGGGAUACCCGCUGAACUUAAGCAUAUCAAUAAGCGGAGGA